GACGAACGCUGGCGGCGUGCCUAACACAUGCAAGUCGAGCGGAGAUAUUAGCAAUAAUAUCUUAGCGGCGGACGGGUGAGUAACGCGUGGGCAACCUGCCUUUCACUGGGGGAUAACACAGGGAAACUUGUGCUAAUACCGCAUAACAUCACGAGAUGACAUCUUCUUGUGAUCAAAGGAGCAAUCCGGUGAUAGAUGGGCCCGCGUCCGAUUAGCUAGUUGGUGGUGUAACGGACCACCAAGGCGACGAUCGGUAGCCGAACUGAGAGGUUGAUCGGCCACAUUGGGACUGAGACACGGCCCAGACUCCUACGGGAGGCAGCAGUGGGGAAUAUUGCGCAAUGGGGGAAACCCUGACGCAGCAACGCCGCGUGAAGGAUGAAGGUUUUCGGAUUGUAAACUUCUUUGAUGAGGGACGAAAAAAUGACGGUACCUCAAAAACAAGCCACGGCUAACUACGUGCCAGCCGCCGCCGUAA
This 478-nucleotide ribosomal RNA is filed under the name uncultured bacterium. RNAcentral's name for it is "partial 16S ribosomal RNA". It matches the Rfam family "Bacterial small subunit ribosomal RNA", at positions 28 to 523 of the family's 1533-position model. The record is from RNAcentral.